RNAcentral lists this unclassified non-coding RNA (150 nucleotides) under uncultured Xylaria. Its description in RNAcentral is "sequence contains ITS1". Lineage: Eukaryota; Fungi; Ascomycota; Sordariomycetes; Xylariales; Xylariaceae. The record is from RNAcentral.
UAGAGUUCUAAACAACUCCCAACCCGUGUGGACGUACCUCAGUUGCCUCGGCAGGUCGCCCCUACCUACCCGGUAGGGACGGUUAAGCCUGCCGGCGGACCACUAAACUCUGUUUAUUAUUGAAUUCUGAACCUAUUACUUAAUAAGUUA